Molecule: ribosomal RNA, 228 nt
Filed under: Escherichia coli
Lineage: Bacteria; Pseudomonadati; Pseudomonadota; Gammaproteobacteria; Enterobacterales; Enterobacteriaceae
Description: partial 16S ribosomal RNA
Rfam family: Bacterial small subunit ribosomal RNA
Source: RNAcentral
AAAUUGAAGAGUUUGAUCAUGGCUCAGAUUGAACGCUGGCGGCAGGCCUAACACAUGCAAGUCGAACGGUAACAGAAAGCAGCUUGCUGCUUUGCUGACGAGUGGCGGACGGGUGAGUAAUGUCUGGGAAACUGCCUGAUGGAGGGGGAUAACUACUGGAAACGGUAGCUAAUACCGCAUAACGUCGCAAGACCAAAGAGGGGGACCUUCGGGCCUCUUGCCAUCGGA